This is a long non-coding RNA of Oryzias javanicus (javanese ricefish), 4354 nucleotides long. NCBI's taxonomy places the organism in Eukaryota, Metazoa, Chordata, Actinopteri, Beloniformes, Adrianichthyidae. The record is from Ensembl.
AGGAAGUAAACAGAACGACAUGUUAGCAUUGAUAGCUGCGUUAGCUUGUUGUUCGGAGGACGGUGGUGUUUUGUUCGGACGUUUGUGAAGAAAUUUGGUGAUACUUUGUUGGAUUUACAACAGUUAUACUUUCCAAAGUGUCGUAAAAGAGUGAAUUCGUGUUGAACGUAAAGACAACGUGGCUGUGAUUGUGAGACUAGCAGAUGAUCGGAGCUGCUGGUGUUGAGAGGACGGCGGUGUUUGUGUGAGCAGCUGCAGGAACCAUGUCUUCCCUUCAGUCUCUGAGAGAGUUGAUCAACGAGCGACUCGCUGCUGCUGCUGAAGAAAUCUUCAGACUCUGUGAAGGAACCAUCGUCCAGUACGAGCAGGAGCUCUGUCGUCAGCGCAGACUGCUGGAUAUCUGCUGGAAACCACAGCUUCAGCUCCACCAGAUAGCCUUCCCCCAACAUUGGCUGAUUGAAGAGAAGGAUCUCUGCAAACAGCAGAAGAACUUCAGAGAGGAUCAGGAGGAACCAGAACCUCCACAGAUUAAAGAGGAACAGGAGGAACCAGAACCUCCACAGAUUGAAGAGGAACAGGAGGAACCAGAACCUCCACAGAUUAAAGAGGAACAGGAGGAACCAGAACCUCCACAGAUUAAAGAGGAUCAGGAGGAACCAGAACCUCCACAGGUUAAAGAGGAUCAGGAGGAACCAGAACCUCCACAGGUUAAAGAGGAACAGGAGGAACCAGAACCUCCACAGGUUAAAGAGGAAUCAGAACCUCCACAGGUUAAAGAGGAACAGGAGGAACCAGACCUCCACAGGGUUAAAGAGGAUCAGGAGGAACAGAACCUCAAGGUUAAAGAGGAUCAGGAGGAACCAGAACCUCCACAGGUUAAAGAGGAUCAGGAGGAACCAGAACCUCCACAGGUUAAAGAGGAACAGAAGGAAGGACAGUAUCCAAAGAUUGAAGAGAAAGAAGAACAGCUCUGCAUCAGUCAGGAUGAAGAGAUGCUUAAUCUGAAGCAGAAGAUUGAUACUUUGAUGGAGAUUCCUUCUUAUGAGGAACAUGAGCACAGUGAAACAGAUCUAAAUGAUCAGCAAAGCUUUAAUUUGACUGGUAGUUGGGAUGAAGAAGGAAACCAACAUGAAGAAUCAACAUCGUGUACAGAUGAAGAGACAGACCCACAGAACAGAGAUCAGAGGAGGAGAACAGACAGACUUGUCCAAAGUGUGGCCAACUCUCACAUUUCAGAAAGUCAGUGUGACUCUGAUGUUAGAAAAAACGUCAAGAAGAAAAUUGGUAAGAAAAGAAACACAAAAAUUCUCUAAAAGGAAAAAGAUCAGAUGAGACAAAAAAAGUUGCACACAGUGAGAAAGUCAGUAAAAAAACUGAAUCUGAUGAAAAAACUCAUGUCUGUAAAGAAUGUGGUAAAGCAUUUAAUCACUGGUCCAAGUUCAAAACCCACAUGAGAAACCAUACGAUAGGGAAGAGAUAUUCUUGUCAAGAAUGUGAUAAAACUUUUAGUUACAAGUAUCAGGUCAGACUACACAUGAGGACUCACACAGGAGAAAAGCCCUUUCAUUGUAAAGAAUGUGAUAAAGGUUUUGAUUACAUGUGUUAUCUCAGAUCCCACAUGAAAACUCAUACAGGGGAAAAACCUUAUCCUUGUAAAGUUUGUAACAAGCGUUUUAGUGAGAAGUUUACUCUCAAAACACACAUGAAAAUUCACACAGGAGAGAGGCCUUUUUCUUGUAUAAGAUGUCAGAAAAGAUUCAUUCAUUCAUAUCGUCUGAAAAGCCACAUGAGAACUCAUGCAGGAGAGAAGCCUUAUUCUUGUAAUGAAUGUCAGAAAAGAUUUGGUAAUCCAGCUUGUCUCAAAACACACAUGAGAACUCACACAGGAGAAAAGACGUUUUCUUGUACAAGAUGUGAUAGAAGCUUUAGUCAUUCAUGUGGUCUGAAAUAUCACAUGAGAUCUCAUGCAGGAGAGAAGCCUUAUUCUUGUAAAAAAUGUGAUGAGUGUUUUAGUGAUCUAUCUACUCUAGACUCACACAUGAAGCUCCUGUCUUGUAAAAAAAUUGCUAUAAGUUUGAGUCAAAUAUCUGGUACUGAAACACACAUGAGAACUCGGAGAGGAGUGAAGCCUUUUUCUUGUGAAAAAUGUGAUAGAAUUUUUACGAUUAGGUCCCAUCUUAAAAAACACAUGAGAACACAUUCAGGAGAGAAGCUUUUUUCUUGUAAGGUAUGUGAUAAACGUUUUACGACAAAGUUCUAUGCUAAAUUACACUUGAAAAUACAUACUGGAGAGAAGCCCUUUUCUUGUCAAAUAUGCAAAAAAGGUUUUAGUCAAAAAAAUAGUGUCAAAAGACACAUGUUAAUUCAUUUAAGAGAGAGUGAAAGUGAAAACUCUCAACUUAAGAAAUGAAGGGAAAUCAUUGGGUUAAAUCAGGAUCAGUCUUAACUGAUUAAAAAAAAGCCGAUUUUAAAUUUCAAAAAUCAUUUAUGAGCUGGAAACAGGUGGAGGAGGACCUAGAGAGGUGGAGGUUUGCCCUGGAAAGGAGAGGAAUGAAGGUUAGCCGCAGUAAGACAGAGUACUUGUGUGUGAAUGAGAGGAACCCAAGUGGAAGAGUGAGGUUACAGGGAGAAGAGAUAAAGAAGGGGGAGGAGUUUAAGUAUUUAGGGUCAACAGUACAGAGUAAUGGAGAGUGUGGAAAAGAAGGGAAGAGGUGAGUGCAAGCAGGUUGGAAUGGGUGGAGAAAAGUGUCAGGUGUGAUGUGUGAUAGAAGAGUUUCAGCACAAAUGAAAGGAAAGACUGUGGUGAGAGCAGCCAUGUUGUUGGACUAGAAACAGUGAAGGAAAGACAGGAAGCAGAGCUGGAGGUAGCAGAGAUGAAGAUGCUGAGGUUCUCUUUGGGAGUGACCAGGAUGGAUAGGGUCAGGAAUGAAUCCAUCAGAGGGACAGAACAUGUUAGAGGUUUUGGAGAUAAAGUCAGACUGAGAUGGUUUGGACAUGUUCAGAGGAGAGACAGUGAAGAUAUUGGUAGAAGGAUGCUGAGUUUAGAGCUGCAGGAAAGAGGUCUAGAACAGGGGUGUCAAACUCAAUCGCACAAGGGGCCAAAAUCCAAAACGCGUCUUAGGUCGCGGGCCGAACAGGAUAAACAUUUAUUAACACUCUAAAACUACAUUUUUAAAAAUGUAAAAACCGUAACUUUUUAACAUAAUUAUGAACUAGAGAUAUAGCAGGGUGUCAAACUUAAAUACACAGUUGGCCAAAAUGUUAAAUUGAACAAAGCCGCCAAGGCUGAACAAAUGAACCUUUCAAUCUGGUACCAAACAAUGAAAAUUAUUAAACAUUUUACAAAAUGAUAUUGAACAAGCAAAGACUUAUAGAAUUUAAAGUGCUGACAUGCAAAUUCAAGUUUCUAAUAAUACUACCAGGCUGGCUUAAAAUAAGGUGGUGAUGGUGUCUUGUCACAAAUUCAGAUUUGGAUACCCCCCCACCCCAAAUUAAAUCUGAAAUGAAAAACUUGAAAUUAAACUUUCAUUAUUUUUUGUAUUAACUGUGGCAUUGAAAGUCACUGUGGGAACAUUUAAAUAUUUCUAAUAAUUAUUGUACAUAAAAAUAAUAUACACAAUAAAUCCUCUCUCCCACUUUUAUAUUUUUAAUAGGCUAAAUAACACUUUUGAUUUAUUUAAUCUGACAUCAGAACAGUCAAGUUCAAGUCUUAAAAUCCUCCUAAAUCAGUAAAUAUGUUGUAGUUAUUUUUAUAUUAUUCUCUCGUUUAAGAACUUUUCUUCUGAACAGAAACUAUAUGUUCUGCUGUGUCUGCCCCUGUGCGCGGCUGUCACGUGCACGUGCAGGCUCUCCUUCUCUCGUGUAUCCCCCCCGCUCCGCUCCCAGCAUGCACCGCGGCAAUAGACAGACUGUCUCUUCUUUUCUUUUUCAAGGAGGUCCUCCUCUAAAUCAAGUGUUUACAACUCCUGAUUUUUUAAAUCAUGUCUUCUCUACCUCACACUGCAGGUCUGUCACAAACAGCACCUGCGGAAGUCUAAUCCAGUCGGACCGAACCAUUUUUAAAGAAGGGGGGGGGGGGGGGGGGGUCCGUUUACGUUGAAGUUUCCAAAAUAAAAUAUAUAAAUAUUAUUAACUAAAAAAUUAAUGAUUACAUAUUGGUUAUUUUUUUAUUGGAAUUAUUUUUUUCUGUUUUAUAAUUUUGUCAUCUCAAUCUAGGCCGCUGGAAACAGCCACCUUUCCCCCCUAUUUGGUGAAAAGGUCCCGCUUGUAAAUUCUCUAAGCAUGAAAAACUCUGUACUACUACUAAUAUUAGCAAUGAUAAUAAUAAAACGUAUCAAUGGCAUAUUAAAUAGAU